RNA transcript from Nicotiana attenuata, 1716 nucleotides. RefSeq lists it as uncharacterized. NCBI's taxonomy places the organism in Eukaryota, Viridiplantae, Streptophyta, Magnoliopsida, Solanales, Solanaceae. The transcript has 8 exons. The record is from RefSeq and is a predicted model, not a curated record.
CGACCCUUUGGAAAUAGGUCCCCUUAUUAUUUUUUUCCUUUUUGUUUUCUGGGAGGAAAUAGGUCAUUCACCUUCUCGUCUCGAAAAUGACGAGCAGCAGCUGCAGAUUUCUCUUCAAAAAUGGCUUUAUUCCAAAUUUGGCAGAAACCCCAUCAGUAACAACCGUACUUGAAGCCCACCAAGGUGCAUAUACAACAACUAGGACUCAUAAUGGUGGCUCACAGCUAUUGUUUUGGGAAAGGCAUAUGAGCAGACUCUCCAACUCUCUAAGAAUUCUUUUAAAUUCAAAUCCAGAACUUUUAUUCAGUUCAGAAAGAUGUAGACUCCCUUUUUCCUUAGUAUCAACAAAACCAACUAUGUGGGAUUCAUUGGUUCAAUCUCUUGUGAAUGAUUCUAUGAGAAAAGCUCUGCCUUUUGUAUUGAAAGAAAGAAGAAGUGGGGAGGAAUUGGCCAUUACUUGUCUUGUCAGUGGAAAUGUUGAUAGUUUGGAGGAAUUUGAGGGUUUAGAUGAGGAAAAGAUUUCUACAGCUUUUGAUGUAUAUAUCCAUGUUGAUCCCUAUGUUCCUCCACUCUUUGGUAACCAUGAAAAUGCAGCACGUUUGGCAGUUGUUGGUCAUGGUAGGCGUGCAGCAAAUGCCAAAUACUCAGACUGGGUUAGGCAAAGGAAGCAAUUGGAGAAGCUGAGGCCACCUUCUGUCAAUGAGCUCCUGUUGUCAAACAACGGUGAUCGGAUCUUAGAGGGUUGUUUGACAAAUCUUUUCGUCGUUUGUCGCAAGGAUGUUAACGACGAUUAUCACAAGGCUAGCCAAAGAGACAAUGAAUCUACAGUAUCAGUUGAAUUGCAAACUGCCCCUCUAAGAGAUGGUGUCCUUCCAGGAGUUCUACGCCAAGUAAUUAUUGACAUAUGCUCAAGAAACAAAAUCCCUGUCAGAGAAAUUGCACCUUCAUGGUCAAAGCGUGAAAUGUGGCUGGAAGCAUUCAUUACAACUCCAAAUCUAUUUCUCCUUACAUGAUCCAGUGGAGACUGAGUUUCUAGUAUACAUGUCUGAGUUGUGGUCCUAAUGCUUAAACCUCUUGCCUCAGUUCUCCAGCUCCACUUCAUGCUUAUUAUGUGCAAAUAUAUAAGGUUAGACUCAGUUUAAAAUUGAAAGGUAGAGUAAAAAGUGAGCUCAAUGUGCCAUUAUGAAUUGCAUAUUCCUAUAUAGUUGAAAAGUGAAAGGUAGUGUAAAAAGUGUGCUUAAUGUGCAACCGUAAUUUGUAUUCCUAUAUACAGUAAGAGGAUCUAUUUUUACUGUUAGAAUACUUACUUGAACUAUUAUUGUAGAUAGCUUGAGGCUAUUGCAGCAUGUGGAAGUUAUUCAAGCUCCUAGUUCAUGGGAAUCGCUUGAAGCAAAAACUUGGAGGGACGUAACAUGGGAGGAAAAGCUAUUUGAGCAUGCGCCUGGAAGGAUCACUGCACUCAUCCAGAAGGAGAUCAUGGAAAUGGCAACUGUUGAAGGGUAUCCAGUGGUUCUAUUUAAUGACUGAUAUACCUUUUGGAAUGGUCCCAUCUUCAAAGCACAGCUGGUUUUUCAGUGAUGCAAGGUCUAGUCUUUGCUUGACUAGCUAAACUGGCAUUCCUUCUAAUUGUGGCGUUGAUUACGCCUGCCUGUGAUGAUUUGAUUUGAAUUGAAGUCCGUUCUGCUUUUGGUAUAAGAUGAUUGUUUUUCUGGUAUU